CCUACGGGAGGCAGCAGUCGAGAAUCAUUCACAAUGGGCGAAACCCUGAUGGUGCGACGCCGCGUGGGGGAAUGAAGCUCUUCGGAUUGUAAACCCCUGUUAUGUGGGAGCAAAUUAAAAAGAUAGUACCCCACGAGGAAGAGACGGCUAACUCGGUGCCAGCAGCCGCGGUAAUACAGAGGUCUCAAGCGUUGUUCGGAAUCACUGGGCGUAAAGGGUGCGUAGGCUGUGUCGUAAGUCGUGUGUGAAAGGCGCGGGCUCAACCCGCGGACGGCACAUGAUACUGCGAGACUAGAGUAAGGGAGGGGGAACCGGAAUGCUCGGUGUAGCAGUGAAAUGCGUAGAUAUCGAGAGGAACACUCGUGGCGAAGGCGGGUUCCUGGACAUUAACUGACGCUGAGGCACGAAGGCCAGGGGAGCGAAAGGGAUUAGAUACCCUUGUAGUC
This 446-nucleotide ribosomal RNA is filed under the name uncultured bacterium. Its description in RNAcentral is "partial 16S ribosomal RNA". It matches the Rfam family "Bacterial small subunit ribosomal RNA", at positions 338 to 795 of the family's 1533-position model. The record is from RNAcentral.